CAAAAAAUGCGCUAUUUACCGACGGAAUUACCGACAUACACAAAUCCGUCUGUGAUUACCGCCGGAAUACCGAGGGAACAGUUCCGUCGUGCCGUCGCCGAGCUGCAGCCUACGCCGUCGCCGAGCUACAGCCUGCGCCGUCGACGAGCUACAGCCAUCGCCGUCGCUGACCUACAGCCACCGCCGUCUCCUCCCCUCAAAUCGGCGGCAUUCUGUUUUCUCGACUCCACCCUUGUCCACAGCUCUAACCUCCAAUUUUUGAAGAAUUAAGGUUGGAUUUGGGGGAAUUGGUUGAGUUUUUCUUAAAUUGGAUUUGCUAGGGUUCAUUUGAGCGCUCUCUUCCACCACUCUUUUACUUCACAUUUUCACAGAGAUGUUAAUGCUUUGGUCUAACUAAUUUUUCACAGGUGAUCUCUUUCAUGGUGAUGAGGUAUUCUAAAAGGUUCUCACAAGCUUGUGGACAAAAUCCUUUACAGCUAUGGCACCUAAAUCUUUUAUUUUUAUCAGUUUUAUCUGUUAAGAGUACUGAAAUGAAAAACCACAGGUCUUUAGGUCAUAUAAAGAGAGGAGAAAAUGCAAGAACUACAUACAUACAAUAAUAAAACCCGGUGGUAAUUUGCAGACAUAAUUAUGACAACGAUGAGUUAUGUAGCUUUCAUUAGUCAUUUCGUUAAUGUGAGGAUAACAGCUAAUUCAUUCUGCUUUCUUUUCUGAUCGAUUUUUUUAUAACAGCACCAUGUUUGUGAAUUUCAUUCAUCCUAGAUGGAAUUAAGUCAGUAUACGUGCAACAAAUCAAUGUUAUUUCACAAACUAAGUAUAAAUAGGGCAUGUGUACUGAUUAAUCACCA
Molecule: long non-coding RNA, 848 nt
Organism: Salvia hispanica
Lineage: Eukaryota; Viridiplantae; Streptophyta; Magnoliopsida; Lamiales; Lamiaceae
Source: RefSeq, a predicted model, not a curated record